This 468-nucleotide ribosomal RNA is filed under the name uncultured bacterium. RNAcentral's name for it is "partial 16S ribosomal RNA". It matches the Rfam family "Bacterial small subunit ribosomal RNA", at positions 28 to 507 of the family's 1533-position model. The record is from RNAcentral.
GACGAACGCUGGCGGCGUGCUUAACACAUGCAAGUCGAACGGAAAGGCCCUGCUAUUGUGCGCUGCCCGAGUGGCGAACGGGUGAGUAACACGUGAGUAACCUGCCCUUCAUUUUCGGAUAAGAUCACGAAAAUUACCUUAAUACCGGAUCGCAGCCCCUCUACCUGGGUGUGGCGUGGAACGUUUCGGCGUGUGGGGAUGGGUUUGCGGCUUAUCAGUUUGUUGGUGGGGUAGUUGCUUACCAAGGCUUUGACGGGUAGCCGACCUGAGAGGGUGACAGGCCACAUUGGGACUGAGGUGCGGCCCGUAGUCGUAUGGGAGGCAGGAGUGGGGAAAAUUGCACAAAGGGAGGAAGCCUGAUGCAGCAACGCCGCGUGCGGGAAAACGUCCUUCGGGUUGAAAACCACUUUCGCCUGUAACGACGCGUGAGUGACGGUAAUCGGUAAAGAAGCACCGGCUAACUACGUG